UAGAGGAUACACCUGUUUCCAUGUCGAACACAGAAGUUAAGCUCUAUAACGCCGAUGGUAGUUAGGAUUUUCCUUGCGAGAGUAGGGAGCUGCCAUGC
RNAcentral lists this ribosomal RNA (98 nucleotides) under Lactobacillales bacterium. Lineage: Bacteria; Bacillati; Bacillota; Bacilli; Lactobacillales. The record is from RNAcentral.